CACUCCUGCGGGAGGCAGCAGUGGGGAAUAUUGGACAAUGGGCGCAAGCCUGAUCCAGCCAUGCCGCGUGAGUGAUGAAGGCCCUAGGGUUGUAAAGCUCUUUCACCGGUGAAGAUAAUGACGGUAACCGGAGAAGAAGCCCCGGCUAACUUCGUGCCAGCAGCUGCGGUAAUACGAAGGGGGCUAGCGUUGUUCGGAUUUACUGGGCGUAAAGCGCACGUAGGCGGACUAUUAAGUCAGGGGUGAAAUCCCGGGGCUCAACCCCGGAACUGCCUUUGAUACUGGUAGUCUUGAGUUCGAGAGAGGUGAGUGGAAUUCCGAGUGUAGAGGUGAAAUUCGUAGAUAUUCGGAGGAACACCAGUGGCGAAGGCGGCUCACUGGCUCGAUACUGACGCUGAGGUGCGAAAGCGUGGGGAGCAAACAGGAUUAGAUACCCGGGUAGUCCCAUGA
This 450-nucleotide ribosomal RNA is filed under the name uncultured organism. Its description in RNAcentral is "partial 16S ribosomal RNA". It matches the Rfam family "Bacterial small subunit ribosomal RNA", at positions 334 to 800 of the family's 1533-position model. The record is from RNAcentral.